RNAcentral lists this ribosomal RNA (801 nucleotides) under Triticum aestivum (bread wheat). Its description in RNAcentral is "partial small subunit ribosomal RNA". The record is from RNAcentral. Lineage: Eukaryota; Viridiplantae; Streptophyta; Magnoliopsida; Poales; Poaceae.
AUGGAGGUUCCGAAAGAUCAUAGAGUUCCUUUGGUCACGUACAAGCUGAAAGGAGGAGCCAGUGCAUGGCGGUAUCACGUUCAAGACGAACGCAGGCUGAGAGGAGAACCUCGUGUGAGAACUUGGCGGCAAAUGAAAAGUCUUUUGAAAGGGAGAUUUUUACCCGCUGAUUAUGACCAGAUCCUAUUUAUCCAAUUCCAAAAUUGUGCUCAAGGAAAUAGGACUGUUUCAGAUUACACGGAGGAGUUUCUAAGGCUACACGUGAGGUGCAACCUUGCUGAAACUAAAGAUCAACAAGUUGCAAGGUACAUCAAUGGUCUCAAUGAUGCUAUUCAAGAUCGAUUGAUGAUGCAACAAAUCUGGUCCAUUGAUCAAGCACAAGCUCUAGUCUUGAAGGCCAAGAGGUUUGUGAGGAUGAGAAAGACAACUAAGGCUCCAUAUCCUCCAUAUCCCCAUACCGAAGGCUCGUCCAGGAGCCAGAAUAAUAGAGUGGAAGAAAAGACCGCUACACCGAAGGCAAAACGACCCAUCCUGAAGCAAACUAGAGGCAAGGGUAAGGCAAAUGAAGGCCCAAAGUGCUAUAAAUGUUGUAAAGAGGGACACAUAUCCGGUGGUUGCCCACUAAAAAAAAUUGUUAACACAACUAUCCAUGAUGGUGAAGACGAUGAGGAAGAAUACAAAUCUGAAGAUGUAGAGGGACAAGAGGUUUGUCAAGAAGAAGGUCAAGAGAUGGUAUGUGUGAUUCAGCAUCUCCUAUUUUCCACACCACAACCUGACGACACAAAGGAAGAAAAUAUUUGA